UGGGAAUCGUAGUCUUCAAAGGCCCCAGCCGGGCUUGACUGCAAAGGAGCCAAGACUACAAGUCCUAUAAUGCCGCGGGUUAAUCGGUUGGCCGUUCCUUUUGAAUGAUUUCACUGCGGUUUACAUUCCCAGGGAGUUUCGCAGCCGCAGUAAGAGACUGGGGGGGAGGCAGGAAUCAUGGUGUAAGCGGCGGGCGAUCGAGGAGCCAAGGAGCCUUCCCGGUUCAUGGCACGCCGGGCAAGUGGCGCUGGAGAGGAGAGGACCAUGGUGGCCGAGGGACUGGCGGGGUGCUGAAGGUGCUGAAGGGGCGGAGGGUGCUGCGGGGUCCGUCCUUCUGCUUGCUUUGCCUGCCGCAUUUCCUUCCUUUUUGCCGGUCUGGAAACCCCCCUCUUGGCCGCCUCCGCCUGCUGCAAAAAGAUGUCUCUAGCCAUGGAAGAGGAAGAAUACGCCAAGCUGGUGAUGGAGUCGGAGCCCGAGUGGCUGCGCGCCGAGAUCAAGCGGCUCUUCCAGGAGCUGGGCGAAACCACCCGGGAGAAGAUCCAGGCUGCGGAGUAUGGGCUGGUGGUCUUGGAAGAGAAGCAGCAGCUCAAGCAGCAGUACGAGGAGCUGGAGCUGGAGUACGAGACCAUCCGCACCGAGAUGGAGCAGCUGAAGGAGGCUUUUGGUCAGGCUCAUACCAACCACAAGAAAGUAGCAGCAGAUGGAGAGAGCAGAGAGGAGACUUUGAUACAGGAAUCUGCCACAAAAGAAGAAUACUACAUGAAAAAGGUUAUGGAACUGCAGACAGAACUCAAGCAGCUGAGGAACGUCCUUGCCAACACCCAGUCUGAAAAUGAACGCCUAAAUUCAGUUGCCCAGGAACUGAGAGAGAUAAAUCAAAAUGUUGAGAACCAGAGAGGCCGCUUACGGGAUGACAUCAAAGAGUAUAAAUUCCGGGAAUCUCGCUUGCUGCAAGAUUACACUGAACUUGAAGAAGAAAACAUCUGCCUUCAGAAACAAGUGUCUAUUCUGAAACAGAAUCAAGUGGAAUUUGAAGGGCUGAAGCAUGAAAUCAAAAGACUAGAAGAGGUUACAGAAUUCCUGAAUAGUCAAUUAGAAGAUGCGAUAAGAUUGAAAGAGAUAUCUGAACGCCAGCUUGAAGAAGCCUUAGAAACCCUGAAGACAGAACGUGAACAGAAGAAUAAUCUUCGGAAAGAAUUAUCUCAUUAUAUGAAUAUCAAUGACUCCAUGUAUACCAGCCAUUUGAACAUCUCUUUGGAUGGACUGAAGUUUAGCGAUGAAACCACCGAGCCCAAUAAUGACGAGAUUGUGAAUGGCUUUGAACCAAAUUGCCUGAGUAAAAUCAACAAUGGCAAUAAUAAAGCAUCAACACCCAAAAAAUCUGACAGCUUCCCUCCAGCUCCUAGUUUGGUGAAUGAUCUUCUGAGUGAGCUAAAUAUAUCUGAAAUCCAAAAAUUGAAACAACAACUAAUGCAGAUGGAGAGAGAAAAAAUGAAUCUGUUGUCGACACUCCAAGAAUCACAAAAACAAUUGGAGAACACCCGGGGUGCACUUUCUGAGCAGCAUGAGAAAGUUGGCAGGCUCACCGAGAACCUCAAUGCCAUGAAAAAACUCCAAGUCAGCAAGGAACGUCAGUCUGCUCUUGACAAUGAGAAAGAACGAGAUAGCCAUGAAGACGGAGAUUAUUAUGAGGUCGAUAUCAAUGGGCCAGAGAUCCUGGAAUGCAAGUAUAAAGUAGCUAUGGCAGAAAUCAGUGACUUGAAAGAGGAACUUAAAGCUGUCAAGGCUAAAUAUGAGGAAUGUGAAUCUAAAUACGAAGAGGAUAAAAGCAGGUACGAGACAGAAAGUCAAGCCCUGACGGAAAAGAUCAGUUCUUUGGACAAAUCUAGUAGGCAAGAUAGGGAGCAGGUCAUCAGGCUGGAGAAGGAACUCAGGAAAGUCACUGAUGUUGCCGGGGAAACCCAGGGCAGCCUUAGUGUAGCCCAAGAUGAACUAGUCACCUUCAGUGAGGAAUUAGCCAACUUGUAUCACCAUGUAUGUAUGUGCAACAAUGAAACCCCCAACAGAGUGAUGCUAGAUUACUACAAACAGGGCAAAGGAGGACAUACCAGUCCAGAGGUCAAAGGCCAUAGAUCACCAAUCCUGCUCUCUAAAGGCUUAUUGUCAAUAGAUUUAGGAAAACCAGAAACCGGGAGUGGUGAAAGCAGCCCUUCACCAGUUUCAUCCCUCCCUUCACCAGUAUCUGAAGUAUCCCGGAAGGAACCUAUGAAUGUUUACAACCUGAUUGCCAUAAUCCGUGAUCAGAUCAAGCAUUUGCAAGCAGCAGUAGAUAGAACAACUGAACUGUCACGGCAGCGGGUGACUACGCAGGAACUUGGGCCAGUAGUGGACAAAGAUAAAGAGGCACUUAUGGAAGAAAUUCUGAAGCUGAAGUCUUUGCUAAGCACCAAGAGAGAACAGAUUGCAACACUGAGGACUGUACUAAAGGCCAACAAACAGACAGCAGAAGUUGCCCUUGCAAACUUGAAGAGCAAAUACGAAAAUGAAAAGGCAAUGGUUACAGAAACAAUGAUGAAGCUGCGCAAUGAACUGAAAGCUUUAAAAGAAGACGCUGCUACUUUCUCUUCUCUGAGGGCCAUGUUUGCUACCAGGUGUGAUGAAUAUGUCACUCAGCUGGAUGAAAUGCAACGCCAGCUUGCUGCAGCUGAAGAUGAAAAGAAGACCCUCAACUCCCUGCUUCGCAUGGCAAUUCAGCAAAAGCUGGCCCUGACCCAGCGCCUUGAACAUCUUGAGUUGGAUCAUGAGCAGUCCAAAAGGGUGCGCACAAAAUCCGCAUCCAAAGCCAAGAGUAGUAACCCCAGUGUAAGUCACAUUCGAUCAUGUGGAGACAAGUCGGAAGGCCCUGUGCUUAAUAACCAAGUUUUUUGCAGUGAUAAGUAUAAGAUCUGUUGUGAUUAAAGAAGAAAUUAGGAAGCCGUAAACACUCGUCUGAUGUUUGUGCUUUUGAAUGUCAGCAUUAACCCCCACUAUAUUAAUAUUGCAGUGAUGAGUGGAUUUAUAUUAGUAUGUUGUUAAACCAUGUAAUACAAGGUGUAUUAUAGUGGUCUUAACUUGUAACUGAGUCACAAGCAUGGGUGGGGGAAAGGCUGUGAAGAAGUUAAUGGUGGAAUAGUAUUUGCUAUUUCCGCAAUGAAUGGCUUUGGUUUUGUGGAUUAUGGGUAAGUGCUAAAGGAGCAUAUCAGGUACAGUCUACAUGCUGUUACUAACUGUAGCUUGUCUAGCACAAAUGGGAUGUUUUUCCCAGAGUUGUAAGUUUGUUUCCAGGGAUGGAGACAGCAAAACUGUCUCCUUGGUUAGUAGUUUUGAGAAAUAAUGGUAUCCAGCUUCUAAAAUCAGAAGUACAGUGGGAAGAUGAUUAAAUCUGCUGCAGCGCUUAAUUGCUGUCAUUAUCAUUAUCUAAAAAUUCAAAAAAAAAUUCUCUAAAUUUAAAAUAUGAAUGCAAACUAUGGGAAAGAAGGCAACCUUCUCAAGCCCUUUAUUUUCUAGCCCUGCUUGGCUUCUUGGGCUUAAGCUAUUAAAAAAUUGCACAUUAAAAAAAUAUGCAAUGUAAUAUUGCCUGUUUGGGUGGAGAAUUUAAUGGUUAAGGAAAGCAAAACUAGAACACUACAUCAGAGCAGAUGAGAUGUAGGAAGAAUAUACUAUACUACAACGAUAAAAUAUUAUGGUUUCUGGCAAUUAAUAUGCCAGGAGGAAAGGUGAAUUACACAUUGGACAUUAUCUAUAUUAAGCUUAUUUAAUUUUCCUUGAUUUUAGUGGGACAAUUGCAUAAUUGUUUUCUGCUGCAAUCAAAGAGAUUACAUAAUGCUUAGAGGAUGUCCAUUAUUAUCUAUGUGUAUAGAAUUAAUAGGAAUAUGUUCUAGUAUUGUCAAAUUGCAAUGCAGUUUCUCCUUAACUGUCAGUAUUAGAGCUUUAUUAGGAUAGUAUUAAUGAGCUCUAAGUUUUGUUUAAAUAAUACAGAAUUGUAUUUCUUAUGCAACCACACACUUCACAGGGCUCUACAUUCUAGGCACUGGAAACUAAAUGAUUAGUUUAUUCUUGGUUAUGCCUAAUUGUGAGGUAGAUUAGCAUAGAUGUAUUCAUUGAUUAAAAAUACUUCAUCAAACCUUUAAGGGGCCUUUUUAGCCACUUAAUUUCAAUACACUAGAUUUUUUAAAAAGUGUACUUCAUAAUUGGUGCCUAAAGAAGGGGGAAUGACACAGGAGGGGAAAAAUAUGGUUUUUUUAAAAAAAAAAAUUGUGGUAAAUCCAAGGAGCACAAAAAGGCACACUUAAAACAAAAACAAAAUAAUUCAGAAGUGCCUAGCCCCAAACCUUAUUUUAAUGUAAAGCCCUGUUCAUACUAUACUCUUUUCAAAUAACUUUGUACGCUUAGAAUAUUACAAAGAAGUAAUGCAGGACUGUGCAGCUGUGUCUGCUAAUGUAGAAAUAUUUCUUUCCUUCCUUCCUCUUCCCCCCUUGAGCCAUGCUAAUAAUAAUCUUGGUGUUGUAUUGCCUCAUCUCACAUUACUAUCUCUUUUUAGAUGAUCUGCAGCUUCCUUCCUAUGUAGCACUGCUCUGCCUAUGAAGUAGUUAGGAGAUAUAGCAAUGUUACUGUAAAAUAAUAAAGAGAGAGCUUUCCUAGUAAAAGGAAGCCAAUAAUUGCUUACAUCUUUCUUGAAAUUGGGAAGAAAACUGAACAUAUUUGCAACAUGGGUUGUAAAGAAAAAAUCUUUAAUAAAGAAUAUAGAAAUUAGAAGGUGAAAUUAGUUCUGCUGAAUUCAAACUAAUUGUGAAUUAUUGACUGAUUGGCAAGCAUAUGAACAGUGUUAAAAUGGUAGACCCUACAUGCCUCACUUUAUUAUUGCUUUUGCAGGAAACACUCUAUUCUCCUGAAUUUGAGCUUUAAUGUAGCUAUUUGCCAGGUUUUGAUAUUUUUAGAAUGCCUUUUAACAGUGGUCCACCCUGCUUUUCUCCUUUAAUGCUCAAUAAUCCAGAAGGCCUUUUUAAGAUCUGUUCCCCUUCUUGCAAAACCCCUGCAUUGAUAAUAAAUACUAAGCUAUUUUGCUCCAUUAGAAGCAGCAACUUUUUGCUUCCAGGUUAAGAGGGAUCUAUGAAAUACAGUUUUCAAACAUCUCCUUUUCUUGGGUUUAGGGUGAGGAAAUUUUAAGAAAUUGAUUGCAUUGGUAAAAAUUCAGGUAAAUUGACAUUAAAUUGGGAGAUUUAAGGGUUCUGGGAUUGCAACUGUGCAUCUGGUGUAUUAUAUUUAUAAUUUUCAAUAGGUUUGCUAAUUGUUUACAUUGUUGUCACUGCUAUUUUUGUUAAUCUUCAAUCUUCUGAGCCCUUGAACCGUUCUGUGUCUUUAGAACUCACAGUAACUGCUUAAAGCAGUGCUUCUCAAGCUUCAUUAUUCAAAAGGGCUUAUCCAAAAGUCCUUUGGACCUAAUGUAGGUAAUAGUUUAAUUUGAAUGUCCCUUUUGUGAUUGGGUAAUGGGUUUGUAUGUCACUACCAAAAAAAAAAAUCUUUUACCCAACUUUGGGUAAUUUAUACAAGUUUGGGAAGCGCUGCUUAGAGAAUGGCAGCCCAGCUGCAUCCUUAUAUUUGUUUAGUUGUACAUUCAAUUUUUAGAAACAGACUUGGGGGGAAAAACAGCUAUGAUUUGCUCUUAUGUCUAAGCUUUGAGAGGGGCUUGUACUUACUUGGUUUAAAUUUUUCAAAAUUAACUUGAUGCAUCCAAUGUUUCCUUUUGCUUUUAUUGGGUUGAAAUACAACGUGGAAAACUUACUAAGCCAUCACCUACCUCUGGAAGUGGGACUUCUCUUCUGAGUGAUUUUACUGCUCACUGUAUUGGCUGGCAUGAUAUACUGACUCACCUGCAUGCUUGUGAAGAGGCAGCAGCUUCACUGAUCAAUUCUCUUGUGAAUUUGCCAUUUUUAUUUACGCUUGAGCAACUUGGCUUCAGGAGUUGUAAGAAACUUUUCUUCCUGCACAGCUUUGGCUAACAGCUGUAGAGUAGUUCCUGAAGAAGGCCAUUACAACAAUACAACUUCAUAUCUUAGCCUGUGUCGUUAUGCUUAGAAGUUAUGGUUGCCUGUUGCACAAAGAAUGGAAACUACUCUUAAUGAAUUCUCUACUCCCCCCCCCAUCCCCAUUCAAAAUAUGUUCUUUUCAAUAUGCAACCUCUGUUCUCAUUUAGCCUUUUUUAUUUUAUUUUAUUUUGUUUUAUUUUAUUUUGGCAUGUUAUGUCUGGAAACAAAAAAAAAAGAAAGCUUUAUCUUUGAAGUGCUGCUGCAGGAAGAAAACUUACAAAUGCUGAAGAAACAUACUUCAUAAUGUAAUAAUUGCCAUGGUAGCUUAUUAUGCUCAUAAGAAAUAUUCAAACUGUGUUUUUUAAUUUCAUUAUAGAACUUUUUUUUAAAAAAAGCAGUUGAUUGUUUAAACAUGUGCACUUUUACUAUUUUGAUAUUUACUUUAAUAUCUUUUUAUUCUUUUUUUUGUAGAAGAGUUUAUAUUAAUGGGGGAAAAAAUCUAGUGACUUAUGCUAAUAGUCUGUCUAUUUGGAGCUUCUGCUUGAUCUUUCCUCAUCCAUUUGUGGCAGAGUUUUAUACUAUAUUGUAUUGUUAUACCCUGUAUUUAGAAAGGAGCUUCAAUACAAACUAGGACUUCUGCUACUUGCUGUAUAUCAGCAUCUUUUUUUAAAAAUAUAAAAUAUUAAGCUUUAUAUGUUUUCAAUUACUGAUUUUUAACUGCCAUGUUAAUUAAGAAAUCCAGGGUAUUCAAAUUCUGGGGUUUUUUCAUAUUGUAUUAUUAUUCUUAGGAAUAGUUCAAUGUAACAAGAAGAAAACUUGACUUUGCUCUGGUGAAAACAGUUAUAGGCACUUGAAAAUAAAUAUUAGUGUUACCUAUAAAUUCCAGAAUGUCUGGGUUUUAGGAAAACCUUAUGGUGUAUGAUUGGUUAACAGAAUUUUAUACAACGAUAUCACUUAAAUUCCAAAUUGGAAUUGUUUUUGUUACUACUUUGUUUUAUUGUGCCAAAUUGUGUUACAUUUUAGAAAGAUAACGUCUGAAGUUGUGACUGCUAGGGUGUUCAACUUCAGCGCCUUUUUUUUCCAUUUAAUUAUUGCCAGUAGUGCCUUUCAUAAUUUUUAAGGGAGAUCCCUAAACUAGCUUAGUCCGUCCAAGAAAUAAAGAACCAUGGUUUUGAAAGCUAGUUAUCAAGUGGAGCAAUAAGGGCAAUAUAACCACCCCUUCGCACAUUUAUUAAUGAGUAGGCCUACUGUAGAGUAGAUCUACUACAUAUGCUCAAAUUGUAAAAAAUUCUGUUAGUCAAUGAUACUUCAUCAUGCAAAUUCAGGGGUAUAGAAGAAAAAAAGUAAACAAAACACAAAUAUACUUUGCAAACCAAAAGUAAUAUUAUUGAACAAAAAAAAGCAAGGUGUAUUAAUCCAUUUGUAAUUGCAGUACAGAGGAUGUUUUGGGAGUUCUGCUAGCUUUGUGUGGUGAUGGAUCCAGUUAACCAUAGUGUUGUUUGCAAAUGUGAAGAAGAAAAGCAAGAUAUUUAAUAUUUUUCUCUUGCAUGUUUUAUCUAAUUCAUUUGUGAUUUCAGGAAACAGAAACUGAGAUGUGCAUCAACAAGUUGUCCCUGCAGUACUAUUUGUUGAGGCUAACUUUGAAUAAUUAAAUUUGGUAACCUUGCGAGGAGCAGAAAUCAGUUUUUCUUUUUAUAUAAAAUAAUUUUUAAAAGAAUUGAAAUUAUAAUCAUGUCAUGGGAAAAAGCUUUCUGUUUGCUGAAAAAAAUGUUCUAGAAGGUGGGGACUUAAGUUUUCAUCCUUUUGGUUACAGUAUUGACUUAUAAGUGGUAUGAUUACAUUUAAAAUUACAUCUCUGUGUGGGUAUUUAUUUGAAUGUCAAAGUACUGUAUUAUGUUUUUAUGUGCAUUUCCUUUUAGUGGUGGAUGGUCUCCAUUUUAUUGUCAUAUGCAUGAACUCUUGCCAAGUAACCUUUACACAGACCUGCAGCAAAGAACUUAAUGGAAAUUCUUAAAAGGAAACUGUGGAAAUUAAGCAACAACUCUGGUGUCAUUUUGAUAAUUUUAGGAGGUUUAGGGGGCAAUGUUAAUUCCCAAAAAAGAGUGCAUGUUGUAUAGGAAAGCAAUCUAUCUGCGUAAAGGUAGUUACAUUGGCAAUAUCAAUAAAGGAGAAGGAAGAAA
RNA transcript from Ahaetulla prasina, 8245 nucleotides. It is a transcript of the gene named BICD cargo adaptor 2, with no coding region annotated. NCBI's taxonomy places the organism in Eukaryota, Metazoa, Chordata, Lepidosauria, Squamata, Colubridae. The record is from RefSeq and is a predicted model, not a curated record. The transcript is spliced from 8 exons.